GAUGAACGCUGGCGGCGUGCCUAAUACAUGCAAGUCGAGCGAACAGACGAGGAGCUUGCUCCUCUGACGUUAGCGGCGGACGGGUGAGUAACACGUGGAUAACCUACCUAUAAGACUGGGAUAACUUCGGGAAACCGGAGCUAAUACCGGAUAAUAUAUUGAACCGCAUGGUUCAAUAGUGAAAGACGGUUUUGCUGUCACUUAUAGAUGGAUCCGCGCCGCAUUAGCUAGUUGGUAAGGUAACGGCUUACCAAGGCAACAAUGUGUAGCCGACCUGAGAGGGUGAUCGGCCACACUGGAACUGAGACACGGUCCAGACUCCUACGGGAAGCAGCAGUAGCGAAUCUUCCGCAAUGGGCGAAAGCCUGACGGAGCAACGCCGCGUGAGUGAUGAAGGUCUUCGGAUCGUAAAACUCUGUUAUUAGGGAAGAACAAAUGUGUAAGUAACUAUGCACGUCUUGACGGUACCUAAUCAGAAAGCCACGGCUAACUACGUG
This 497-nucleotide ribosomal RNA is filed under the name uncultured bacterium. Its description in RNAcentral is "partial 16S ribosomal RNA". It matches the Rfam family "Bacterial small subunit ribosomal RNA", at positions 28 to 507 of the family's 1533-position model. The record is from RNAcentral.